This 387-nucleotide ribosomal RNA is filed under the name Echinaster sepositus. RNAcentral's name for it is "eukaryotic LSU rRNA". It matches the Rfam family "Eukaryotic large subunit ribosomal RNA", at positions 1 to 364 of the family's 3401-position model. The record is from RNAcentral. Lineage: Eukaryota; Metazoa; Echinodermata; Asteroidea; Spinulosida; Echinasteridae.
NNUGACCUCAGGUCGGGCGCGAGGACCCGCCGGAUUUAAGCNUAUCACUAAGCGGAGGAAAAGAAACUAACAAGGAUUCCCUCAGUAGCGGCGAGCGAAGCGGGAAGAGCCCAUGCCGAAUCCCCGGCCCCGCAAGUCUGCCGAGGGAAAUGUGGCGUAAGGAAGUCGGUCUCCGCGGUCGGUUCGUCGGCGCCGAGGUCCUUCUGAUCGAGGCCUCCGCGCGUCCCAGGGCGGGUGUCAGGCCUUCGGGCCGGUCCGGCCGCGGAAUUCGGAUGGCUUCCGGGAGUCGGGUUGUUCUGUAUUGCAGCCCCAAGGCGGGUNGUAAACUCCAUCCAAGGCUAAAUACCGGCACGAGACCGAUAGCGAACAAGUACCGCGAGGGAAAGU